This is a transfer RNA of Sugiyamaella lignohabitans, 72 nucleotides long. It matches the Rfam family "tRNA". From Rfam's summary of the family: Transfer RNA (tRNA) molecules are approximately 80 nucleotides in length. Their secondary structure includes four short double-helical elements and three loops (D, anti-codon, and T loops). NCBI's taxonomy places the organism in Eukaryota, Fungi, Ascomycota, Dipodascomycetes, Dipodascales, Trichomonascaceae. The record is from Rfam.
GCGGCUAUAGGUUAACUGGUAGACCUAGUGACUUCCAAUCAUUGAGCAUCUGUUCGAGUCAGAUUAGCCGUA